AGAGUUUGAUCCUGGCUCAGAACGUACGCUGGCGGCACGCCUAACACAUGCAAGUCGAACGAAGUAGCAAUACUUAGUGGCAGACGGGUGAGUAACAUGUAGGUAUCUGCCCUUUGGCCUGGAAUAACACGAGGAAACUUGUGCUAAUACCGGAUAAGUCUUUACGGAGAAAGCUUUAUGCACCAUUGGAUGAGCCUGCACUUGAUUAGUUUGUUGGUGGGGUAAUGGCCUACCAAGACUGUGAUCAAUAGCUGAUUUGAGAGGAUGAUCAGCCACAUUGGGACUGAGACACGGCCCAAACUCCUACGGGAGGCAGCAGUGGGGAAUCUUGCACAAUGGAGGAGACUCUGAUGCAGCGAUGCCGCGUGAGUGAAGAAGGCCUUUGGGUUGUAAAGCUCUUUCGUCGGGGAAGAAAAUGACUGUACCCGAAUAAGAAGGUCCGGCUAACUUCGUGCCAGCAGCCGCGGUAAUACGAAGGGACCUAGCGUAGUUCGGAAUUACUGGGCUUAAAGAGUUCGUAGGUGGUUGAAAAAGUUGGUGGUGAAAUCCCAGAGCUUAACUCUGGAACUGCCAUCAAAACUUUUCAGCUAGAGUGUGAUAGAGGAAAGCAGAAUUUCUAGUGUAGAGGUGAAAUUCGUAGAUAUUAGAAAGAAUACCAAUUGCGAAGGCAGCUUUCUGGAUCAUUACUGACACUGAGGAACGAAAGCAUGGGUAGCGAAGAGGAUUAGAUACCCUCGUAGUCCAUGCCGUAAACGAUGUGUGUUAGACGUUGGAAAUUUAUUUUCAGUGUCGCAGCGAAAGCGAUAAACACACCGCCUGGGGAGUACGACCGCAAGGUUAAAACUCAAAUGAAUUGACGGGGACCCGCACAAGUAGUGGAGCAUGUGGUUUAAUUCGAAGAUACGCGCAGAACCUUACCAACACUUGACAUGUUCGUCGCGACUUUAAGAGAUUAAAGUUUUCGGUUCGGCCGGACGAAACACAGGUGCUGCAUGGCUGUCGUCAGCUCGUGUCGUGAGAUGUUGGGUUAAGUCCCGCAACGAGCGCAACCCUCACUUUUAGUUGCCAUCAUUAAGUUGGGCACUCUGAAAGAACUGCCAGUGAUAAGCUGGAGGAAGGUGGGGAUGACGUCAAGUCCUCAUGGCCCUUACGUGUUGGGCUACACACGUGCUACAAUGGUAUCUACAACAGGAAGCGAAACUGCGAAGUUUAGCAAAUCCUUAAAAGAUACCUCAGUUCGGAUUGCACUCUGCAACUCGAGUGCAUGAAGCUGGAAUUACUAGUAAUCGUGGAUCAGCGUGCCACGGUGAAUGCGUUCCCGGGUCUUGUACACACCGCCCGUCACACCAUGGGAGUUGGUUCUACCUUAAGGCAAGGUUUUAAACCCUUGACCACGGUAUAGUCAGCGACUGGGGUGAAGUCGUAACAAGGUAACC
RNAcentral lists this ribosomal RNA (1436 nucleotides) under uncultured bacterium. RNAcentral describes it as "bacterial SSU rRNA". It matches the Rfam family "Bacterial small subunit ribosomal RNA". The record is from RNAcentral.